GACGAACGCUGGCGGCGUGCUUAACACAUGCAAGUCGAACGGAAAGGCCCUGCUUUUGUGGGGUGCUCGAGUGGCGAACGGGUGAGUAACACGUGAGUAACCUGCCCUUGACUUUGGGAUAACUUCAGGAAACUGGGGCUAAUACCGGAUAGGAGCUCCUGCUGCAUGGUGGGGGUUGGAAAGUUUCGGCGGUUGGGGAUGGACUCGCGGCUUAUCAGCUUGUUGGUGGGGUAGUGGCUUACCAAGGCUUUGACGGGUAGCCGGCCUGAGAGGGUGACCGGCCACAUUGGGACUGAGGUACGGCCCAGACUCCUACGGGAGGCAGCAGUGGGGAAUAUUGCACAAUGGGCGGAAGCCUGAUGCAGCAACGCCGCGUGCGGGGUGACGGCCUUCGGGUUGUAAACCGCUUUCGCCUGUGACGAAGCGUGAGUGACGGUAAUGGGUAAAGAAGCACCGGCUAACUACGUG
Molecule: ribosomal RNA, 468 nt
Filed under: uncultured bacterium
Lineage: Bacteria
Description: partial 16S ribosomal RNA
Rfam family: Bacterial small subunit ribosomal RNA
Source: RNAcentral